Long non-coding RNA from Cuculus canorus (common cuckoo), 3834 nucleotides. RefSeq lists it as uncharacterized. The transcript is spliced from 3 exons. NCBI's taxonomy places the organism in Eukaryota, Metazoa, Chordata, Aves, Cuculiformes, Cuculidae. The record is from RefSeq and is a predicted model, not a curated record.
AAAAAAACGAAUGCAUCUUUCUAAAGGAGCGCAAAGACAGUGCAGCUUUAUACCAGCAGAACCUUUUCCUAUCUUUGCCUAAUGAUCUUCCUCUGUCAGCUAAGGAGGACAUCGAAAUCAAGGAAAAGCUCCAUUACAGAGAUAUUCUCUGAGUGAGAGCUUUUCUCUUCUGGAUUGCACCUAACAGUCACUUCUACCCACCUGUGCAAAGCAGAUGAAGAGCUGUGUCUGUGAUUCAGAACCACUCUUCCAGCACCACAGGAUAAAUACCAACAGAGACAAUGCUGAUCUUCGUAACUAACAGCUCUUCAAGCAUGAUAAGCUGUCUGAUGCAAUGAAGUCACACUGUCAUAAAUAGACACUGAGUGCUGAAAUGUGACAGAUCAGGUCAAACAUUUUUAUUCUGUCAGUUUGAAUAAUAUUGCAGGCCCAAAGGCUUCCAACUGGCUGGGUUUUAAUUACCGAGGUAAUUUUCCAUGCAUGUGUCUUUGCAAUGCUGCACUGGAAAUACCACAGCACUGAGCACAGGCUUUUACUGAUUCCAUUUAUGAGAAAAACUUCUGUCUAAUUUAAGAGUGUAGCAGUAUACCAGAAACAUAAGGUGUAAGUUUGAUUUCACACUCACAUCAUGUACUGAAAUCACUGCGUUUUUGGAAUUAGACAAGUUCAGUGGGAUUUGAGGACCUCAUUUGUGGUUGACACUUGAAUGGAACAUAAAAGCAGAGCUAUACUUUGUGUUGAGUUUCCGCUAUAGCAAGCAGGAUUAUGAAAGUUUCCUUACUAUGAGGAUGUGGGAUCGUUAGCGACUGCACUACUGAACUAGGCAUCUCACAUCAGGGAGCGUGAAGGAAGAGUAAUAGGAACACAGCAACCAUGAAAAUAAAAGGGUGAAGUACAUAAGUACACUCCUGAAUCCAAAGCGUGUAGUAUUGUGUGGAUCAUGGCUGGAUGGAUCUUCUAAUGCUCACAAAACACUAGCUUCAAAUGGGUAGGAAAUACUUUUCAGGAGGGUCUUCUUUUCAGAUGAUUAAAAUAUAUUGAUUUGAGUGGUCUUAAUAGCUGCUCAAAACAGUUCAGUUGCUGCAUUAAGUUUAUGUCUCAGUACCUUCACAUGAUGUGAAUAAGACAAAGAAGUACCUGGACACCUGGUAUGAGAUUACCCUAAGAAACACAAGAGUUUAUGGCUUUAUGGCAUUAGUAUUAAAGGAUUCUGACAAGAGGCUGUGGGAGCUGUGACACGAAACUGUGGUUUUAUUGCCUUGGCAAUAAAAAAAGGGGCAAAAAAUAUCAUAUCCCAAGAAGAUCCACAGUGUGGGACAUGAUCCGACUCUGGAAAGAUAAACAUAAAUCAAGCUGGCAAACAGACACACUAGUGGUGAGGGAAUCAUUUGAAUGCCUGGAACAAGGCAUCUCAGUCAAAGCAGGGGAUUUGCUAAUGGUUACAGGAAGACCUUCCGGCUGAAGUUAGAUUCUAAGGACACGCUCAGCAGGGAACUGGCUACGUAACUUGCUGCCUUCCCACCUUGACAGGGUCUUGGCUUCCUUUGUAAGGCAAGUGGUGUAUUCACUGACAGUAUAGAGAAUAAUUUCUCCCCCAGCUGAAAAUAUCGGCUGAAAUCCCUGAGUAGCCCUAUGAACUGUCAGCAGAAAGGCCCCUUCUGACCUGCAGAUCUGCACUUACACUGUAGUAGAUGUCCUGAUGAACCCAGGACCUUUUUUUCCUUUUAUCUGUCUCAUUCUACUGUAUGGAUCUUAGAGCCAUCUAAACUCUGGCUGUUCUUGAAAGUCAUACGCAGGAAUGCUCCUUCAAAAAAGCAAUGCCAUAGUAGCCAGAGAAGGAAUGAAUAUAAUGUAGAAUUAUAUCUGCUUACUCCCCUGGUACAUGUCAUUUUUUAAUAUAUGGUGAGAUUUUCUCCCUGAUUUUUCUGAACUCUUUUGGGUUUGGGUUUUUUUUUGUAAUUGUCUGACAUAUUCUCCUUGCUCCAUUUUUUUUUUCCAUAUAAAUAAACAUUCUAACAGUUAUUUAAAAGAAUAUAGCAAUGCUUUCUAUCUCUUAAGAUUUUUCCUUCUUCCCCAAAAAAGUCUUUGGACUUCAGAGAGUUCUGUUUAAAAGCAAAACUGGAGUUUGUUUCAUUUGUUUUGGUUUUAUACCUUAUACAUCCAAGUGCAAGGUGUAGUACCAUUACGAAGGGUUUCUUUAUACUUUGUAAAGGUUACAAGGAGAAAAUUAUGGAGGGAAGAAAAAACAAAACACAGAACAAAAAAUUGAAGGUGUCUCCAAAUGACAGCCAACUAAUCUUUUCUUUUUGCUUUUGUCAGUAAGAGCACAAAAGAAGAAUUAAAUACCAUUGCCAAUCUGGACCAAACGUUCGAAUACACUCUGAAAAGCCCAGCACAGUUCUUCUAUGGCGCUUUGUCUCUGUAUUUUUGUCAUUUCAGGUAUCUGCAGGCAUCAUAUAAGCCCUAGGACCUCUUAUUUUCUUGCUCCAGUGUUAUUGUAUUCUGUCACCAGUAUUAUUACAAUGAAACUGGCAAUGAGCAGAGACAUAUUUGAUGCUUUAGAAAUAAUGAAAUGUCACUCCCAUUACAGAACAAUGUGGCAUUUAAUGAUUUAAUGGGACUAUGCAAAGUUUAUUUGCAUUAUUAUUCCACUGUAAUGAUUUUUUUUCCUGGCAGUGAAAGCUGCCAAAAAUAUCAUUGAAUGUUAAUUCAGAUGAACUUUAAAGGCAGUCACAUAGGGAGUGACCUGAAAUCAAAGCUCUUCAUCCUAGCCUUCAAAGGAGGCUACCCUGGAGGGUGUCAUUAGAAACUUCCGUUAACCUCGCAGGUUUCAAAUCUGUGAAGACCAAAAAGACCACACACACACAGAGCAAAAGCCAUUUCACUCUCAGAAGAAAAAAUUAGAGUGUCGUAAUUAGCUGGCAGAGGAAGAGAUACCCCUGGAUAUAGAUAUCAUUAACAUGGCUAAUUAAAUAUCAGAAAAUGUUACAUGAAAAUAUUCUUGGAGAAAAUUAAAAAUUCUAUUUCCCAGUGAUGGUAACUUUAGUAAAUUUUACUUUCAGUGUUGGCUCUACUGAGUAUUAGCAAUACUAAGUGUCUCAAUCCUUUAGUUAGUUGAGUGAAGGUUAUCAGAGUGCAUUACCACUGAGCUUUACAGCUGGAAUGGUUUCUCACAUAAGAAACACAAAUAAGCUUAUUCGCAUGUAUAUGAUGAUUCUGCCUGAAAGGAAUAAAUCAGUGACUUUUGAGGUCCCUGUUUUACUUGGCUUUCCAAAUACAUAUACACUGCAGAGAAGGGGUUUAGAUCAGGUCUUUUAAUUAUUGACUCUGCUCUAGAAUUGAAUGAGGCUGUUGCAUUGUUUGGUUGGUUGUUUUUUUUCCUCAGAUACUAGUCUAUUGAAUGAAUAAUGAGGUUUCAAAUGAAAAAAUAAUAACCGUUGACUAAUUUGUGAGAAAGAAUGAUAAAUUUUUUGGAAGUGGAAUUUUUCUCCCCUGUUAUUUUCUAAAUAUUUUGAUAGUUUUGCUAGGUACAGCUAUUUUACAUUUAAACUUAGCUUUUGAAAUUUUAAUCCCCAUGGAGUUAAAGGAAAAAACAAAACCUCUUCCUGAAAGACAGGCAGUUAAGUUUGGGGAUUAUAAGAAGAAGAAAAAUGUGAGAAAAGAGAAGGAGAACGCUUUCUUUUGAAAAGUAUUGUUUUUGUUUGGAAGAGAAUAAACACAGUUUUCCUCUGCCAAUAAUCAACAAAAAAAUAUGCUGCUAUAGUUCUACUCCAAUCCCAUUUGUGAUCUCUUGACUCUGUAACGCCGAUGACGCAAACCAGUAUUUAAAUCAUG